This 288-nucleotide ribosomal RNA is filed under the name uncultured bacterium. Its description in RNAcentral is "partial 16S ribosomal RNA". It matches the Rfam family "Bacterial small subunit ribosomal RNA", at positions 1 to 318 of the family's 1533-position model. The record is from RNAcentral.
UAGUGAGUUUGAUCCUGGCUCAGGAUGAACGCUGGCGGUCUGCUUAACACAUGCAAGUCGAACGCAAGUAGAAAUACUUGAGUGGCGGACGGUGAGUAACGCGUGAGAAUCUGCCUUCUGGUCGGGUACGAACCACUGGAAACGGUGGCUAAUACCGGAUAUGCCUAUGGGUGAAAGAUUAAUUGCCAGAAGAAGAGCUCGCGUCUGAUUAGCUAGUUGGAGAGGUAAAGGCUCACCAAGGCCACGAUCGAGUAGCUGGUCUGAGUAGGACGACCAGCCACACUGGAA